Papaver somniferum (opium poppy) is the source of this 1128-nucleotide long non-coding RNA. RefSeq lists it as uncharacterized. The record is from RefSeq and is a predicted model, not a curated record. The transcript is spliced from 5 exons. Lineage: Eukaryota; Viridiplantae; Streptophyta; Magnoliopsida; Ranunculales; Papaveraceae.
ACUGCCUCUUCUACCUCUCAUCCUCUCUUACACGCCGCCCUCGCGAGAACCACCGGCGACACAAAAUCAUGGUAUCGGAUGUUGAUAAUCAACCACAACAAGAUCAAAACCCUAUAACAACCAUUUCUCCUCUCAUAUCAAAAUCAUGGCAUCGGAUGUUGAUAAUUACCCCACUUCGUUUCACUUUUUUCUUUCCUUUUUAUUGUCGAUUUGAAAGUUUUUUUUUUUUUUUUUUCUUUUUUUUUAGAAAUAAUGGUGGUAAUGAAGCCCCUAAAAAGAUUAAGUGAGGCGGAAUUCCAAAGCAGGAUGCUGUCGGACUUGAUGCGGUACCGAUCGAUGCAUCUGUAUUGGGUAUCUUUACCAAUAUCUGUGUAUUCUUCGCCUCUGGCUCUCUCUUCCCUUCCAGGUGAUUUCUAAGAAGGGAACAAGACAAUGAAGCAUAUAUUAGGGAUCUAUGAAGCUAUGAAGAAUCAAAUAUGGUCACCGGUGGUACUGUGGUUUGUUACAAGCAGCUCAUUAAAGAUCAUUGAACAAAUAAUGGAGUGCAACUGGUGGGGUUAGCUACGCAGUAUAUGGAAUACUUAGCUCUUCAACUAUGGGGUCUGUAUUGAGAACUGCCAAUCUACUAGAAGGGUCGGAAGCAGGAACAGACCAUGGAGUCUCAUUUCUUGAUUCAAUUACAAUGCUAAGUGCUCAGAAACUUUUUCAUGGUCAAAUAUUCUUCGCCUCUUGUUCUCAUAAUCUCAUUCAUGUACCUUCAAAAAGGUUCGUCGCAAAAAAAAAAAAGGCUAUGAAGAAUCAAAUUUCGUGACUAGUGGUUAGUACUGAUGGAACAACCACUUCUAAUCAUCUUGCAGGUAGAGGUACCUUCAUCAGGCUUCACAAAAGACAUUUUCCACAAUGGCGGCAACAUGGCAGAUUUAUGGGCCAUUAAAGAAGGUUUGUUGGAAGCUUCAAGUUGUUGGGGAAUCCAUGCAUAUUAUCAGUCUUGUAAAUGGUUUCUGUAAGGUGCCCUGGUUUUUUGUUCACGCGAGGAAGGCAGAAAUUUUUUGUAUUAUUUUCCAUUUAAGCAUGAUUACAAGAAAGAUUAAAUUCCAGAAUUUUAAACUUGAUAGAUUUUAAGCAUGA